GAUGAACGCUGGCGGCGUGCCUAAUACAUGCAAGUCGAGCGACCAGACGAUGAGCUCGCUCUCUUGACGUUAGCGGCUGACGGGCGAGUAACACGUGCAUCACCUUCCUCUUUGUCUGGGAUAACUUCGUGAAACCGCUUCUACUACUGGCUCAUAUAUUCUACCGCUUGGUUCAAUAGUUCAUCACGCCUUUCCCGUCUCUUUUAGCUGAUUUCGCGUCGCCUUAUCUAGUUGGUAAGGUAACGGCUUACCAAGGCGGCGAUGCGUAGCCGACCUGAGAGGGGGAAUCGGCAAACUGGAAAUGAGAAAAGGUCCAGAAUCCUAAGGGAGGGAGGAGUGGGGAAUAUUGGCGCAAGGGGGGAAGGCUGAACGAGGCAACCCGGGGGGGUGAAGAAGGCCUUCGGGUUGUAAAACCCUUUUAUUAGGGAAGAAAAAAAGUGUAAGAAACUAUGCACGUCUUGACGGUACCUAAAGAGAAAGCCACGGCUAACUACGUG
This 497-nucleotide ribosomal RNA is filed under the name uncultured bacterium. Its description in RNAcentral is "partial 16S ribosomal RNA". It matches the Rfam family "Bacterial small subunit ribosomal RNA", at positions 28 to 507 of the family's 1533-position model. The record is from RNAcentral.